This 353-nucleotide unclassified non-coding RNA is filed under the name soil metagenome. RNAcentral describes it as "partial contains 5.8S ribosomal RNA, internal transcribed spacer 2, and large subunit ribosomal RNA". The stretch from base 1 to 120 matches the Rfam family "5.8S ribosomal RNA", at positions 35 to 154 of the family's 154-position model. The record is from RNAcentral.
GAUGAAGAACGUAGCGAAAUGCGAUAAGUAAUGUGAAUUGCAGAAUUCAGUGAAUCAUCGAAUCUUUGAACGCACAUUGCGCCCGCCAGUAUUCUGGCGGGCAUGCCUGUUCGAGCGUCAUUACAACCCUCAGGCCCCCGGGCCUGGCGUUGGGGAUCGGCGGAAGCCCCCUGCGGGCACAACGCCGUCCCCCAAAUACAGUGGCGGUCCCGCCGCAGCUUCCAUUGCGUAGUAGCUAACACCUCGCAACUGGAGAGCGGCGCGGCCACGCCGUAAAACACCCAACUUCUGAAUGUUGACCUCGAAUCAGGUAGGAAUACCCGCUGAACUUAAGCAUAUCAAUAAGCGGAGGG